AGACCGAUAGCGAACAAGUAGAGUGAUCGAAAGAUGAAAAGCACUUUGGAAAGAGAGUUAAAAAGCACGUGAAAUUGUUGAAAGGGAAGCGCUCACAACCAGACUUCUGGGCGGUGUUCCGCCGGUCUUCUGACCGGUCUACUCGCCGUCCCGAGGCCAACAUCAUCUGGGACCGCUGGAUAAGACCGGAGGAAUGUAGCUCCCCUCGGGGAGUGUUAUAGCCUCCGGUGAUGCAGCGCGUCUCGGGUGAGGUCCGCGCUUCGGCAAGGAUGUUGGCGUAAUGGUUGUCAGCGGCCCGUCUUGAAACACGGACCAAG
Molecule: ribosomal RNA, 317 nt
Filed under: Ramularia grevilleana
Lineage: Eukaryota; Fungi; Ascomycota; Dothideomycetes; Mycosphaerellales; Mycosphaerellaceae
Description: eukaryotic LSU rRNA
Rfam family: Eukaryotic large subunit ribosomal RNA
Source: RNAcentral